ACACGGUAAGGAUUGACGGACUGAAGGCUCUUCUCGAUUCCGUGGAAAGUGGUGCAUGGCCGUUUUGGUUGGUGGAUCGAUCCGUCUGGUUAAUUCCGUUAACGAACGAGACCUCGGCACUCCGAAUAGCGCGGCGGACGUCGCGGCCUCCGGGGCCGUCUUCCGCACGAGCUUCUUAGAGGGACCGUCCCCCGCCGGGGAAGGAGGUGCGAGGCAACGACAGGUCUGUGAUGCCCUUAGAUGUUCUGGGCCGCACGCGCAUUACACUGACGCGUCCAACGGGUGACUCCCGACCCGAAGGGGCCGGGGAAUCCGCAAGGCGCGUCGUGAUGGGGAUUGAACGUUGCAAUUGUUGUUCACGAACGAGGAAUUCCUAGUAGGCGCGGGUCAUCAACCCGCGCCGAUUACGUCCCUGCCG
This 418-nucleotide ribosomal RNA is filed under the name uncultured eukaryote. Its description in RNAcentral is "bacterial SSU rRNA". It matches the Rfam family "Eukaryotic small subunit ribosomal RNA", at positions 1228 to 1657 of the family's 1831-position model. The record is from RNAcentral.